CGCAUCUGUGCAUGCAGCAUAUCAAUAAGCGGAGGAAAAGAAACUAACAAGGAUUCCCUCAGUAACGGCGAGUGAAGCGGGAAGAGCUCAAAUUUGAAAUCUUGAAAGGUCACCUUUCACGAAUUGUAGUUUAAAGAAGUGUUUUCUGUUACGAUCGUAAUAUAAGUUCUUUGGAAUAGGACAUCACAGAGGGUGAGAAUCCCGUCUAUGAUUGCGAUUUGUAGCUUUGUGAUACACUUUCAAAGAGUCGGGUUGUUUGGGAAUGCAGCCCAAAACGGGAGGUAAAUUUCUUCUAAGGCUAAAUAUUGGCGAGAGACCGAUAGCGAACAAGUACCGUGAGGGAAAGAUGAAAAGAACUUUGAAAAGAGAGUUAAAUAGUACGUGAAAUUGUCAAAAGGGAAGCGUUUAACACCAGUGUUGUUUUCUCGAAAAUCAAUUAAAAAUGGCUCGAUUUUGUAUUGCUUGAGACCUUAAAAGCUCACUGUACAUUUUUCGUGUCUUUUUUAAUGCACUUUUCGUUUAACAAGUCAACAUCAGUUUCUUUUGUUGUAAAAGGGUCAUUGGAAGGUGGCUUUCUUUUCGGAGAAAGUGUUUAUAGCCUUUGGCCUCUGCAAUCGGAGAGACUGAGGUCUGCAGCGUAGACUCUUCGGGGUUAGAUACAUUUGUGCUAAGUUAUAGCUUUUUAUAGACAACUUGUUGACUAUAAUUAGUCUUGUAGCUUAGCUCGCUUAUGCUAUUUUACCUACGCUUAGGAUGUUGAAGUCAUCGUAUCGCGC
Molecule: ribosomal RNA, 776 nt
Filed under: uncultured Neocallimastigales
Lineage: Eukaryota; Fungi; Neocallimastigomycota; Neocallimastigomycetes; Neocallimastigales
Description: partial large subunit ribosomal RNA
Rfam family: Eukaryotic large subunit ribosomal RNA
Source: RNAcentral